UAGGGAAUCUUCGGCAAUGGACGGAAGUCUGACCGAGCAACGCCGCGUGAGUGAAGAAGGUUUUCGGAUCGUAAAGCUCUGUUGUAAGAGAAGAACGAGCGUGAGAGUGGAAAGUUCACACUGUGACGGUAUCUUACCAGAAAGGGACGGCUAACUACGUGCCAGCAGCCGCGGUAAUACGUAGGUCCCGAGCGUUGUCCGGAUUUAUUGGGCGUAAAGCGAGCGCAGGCGGUUAGAUAAGUCUGAAGUUAAAGGCUGUGGCUUAACCAUAGUAGGCUUUGGAAACUGUUUAACUUGAGUGCAAGAGGGGAGAGUGGAAUUCCAUGUGUAGCGGUGAAAUGCGUAGAUAUAUGGAGGAACACCGGUGGCGAAAGCGGCUCUCUGGCUUGUAACUGACGCUGAGGCUCGAAAGCGUGGGGAGCAAACAGGAUUAGAUACCCUGGUAGUCCACGCUGUAAACGAUGAGUGCUAGGUGUUAGACCCUUUCCGGGGUUUAGUGCCGUAGCUAACGCAUUAAGCACUCCGCCUGGGGAGUACGACCGCAAGGUU
This 549-nucleotide ribosomal RNA is filed under the name uncultured bacterium. RNAcentral describes it as "bacterial SSU rRNA". It matches the Rfam family "Bacterial small subunit ribosomal RNA", at positions 355 to 895 of the family's 1533-position model. The record is from RNAcentral.